Molecule: ribosomal RNA, 253 nt
Filed under: uncultured bacterium
Lineage: Bacteria
Description: partial 16S ribosomal RNA
Rfam family: Bacterial small subunit ribosomal RNA
Source: RNAcentral
UACGUAGGGUGCAAGCGUUAAUCGGAAUUACUGGGCGUAAAGCGUGCGCAGGCGGUUUUGUAAGUCUGUCGUGAAAGCCCCGGGCACAACCUGGGAAUUGCGAUGGAGACUGCAAGGCUUGAAUCUGGCAGAGGGGGGUAGAAUUCCACGUGUAGCAGUGAAAUGCGGAGAGAUGUGGAGGAACACCGAUGGCGAAGGCAGCCCCCUGGGUCAAGAUUGACGCUCAUGCACGAAAGCGUGGGGAGCAAACAGG